CUCCUACGGGAGGCAGCAGUGGGGAAUAUUGGGCAAUGGGCGCAAGCCUGACCCAGCAACGCCGCGUGAAGGAAGAAGGCUUUCGGGUUGUAAACUUCUUUUAUGAGGGACGAAGGAAGUGACGGUACCUCAUGAAUAAGCUCCGGCUAACUACGUGCCAGCAGCUG
This 167-nucleotide ribosomal RNA is filed under the name uncultured bacterium. RNAcentral's name for it is "partial 16S ribosomal RNA". It matches the Rfam family "Bacterial small subunit ribosomal RNA", at positions 336 to 517 of the family's 1533-position model. The record is from RNAcentral.